CUAAUACUUUCUUCGUUCGAAAAUACUUGUCCUAUAAAUAAAUGUAUCUAGACUUAUUUUAGUUAUAGAUACAUUCAUUUUAAUUAUUUUUAGGACAAGUAAUUUUAAACGGAGGGAGUAGUAG
Hordeum vulgare subsp. vulgare (domesticated barley) is the source of this 124-nucleotide non-coding RNA. NCBI's taxonomy places the organism in Eukaryota, Viridiplantae, Streptophyta, Magnoliopsida, Poales, Poaceae. The record is from Rfam.